GACAGAGGGUGCAAACGUUGUUCGGAAUUACUGGGCGUAAAGCGCGUGUAGGCGGCAUGGCAAGUCGGGUGUGAAAGCCCACGGCUCAACCGUGGAAGGGCACUCGAAACUGCUAAGCUAGAGUCCUGGAGAGGAAGGUGGAAUGCUCGGUGUAGAGGUGAAAUUCGUAGAUAUCGAGCGGAACACCGGUGGCGAAGGCGGCCUUCUGGACAGUGACUGACGCUGAGACGCGAAAGCGUGGGGAGCAAACAGGAUUAGAUACCCCAGUAGUCC
This 273-nucleotide ribosomal RNA is filed under the name uncultured bacterium. RNAcentral describes it as "partial 16S ribosomal RNA". It matches the Rfam family "Bacterial small subunit ribosomal RNA", at positions 524 to 796 of the family's 1533-position model. The record is from RNAcentral.